This is a long non-coding RNA of Hibiscus syriacus, 150 nucleotides long. RefSeq lists it as uncharacterized. The transcript is spliced from 3 exons. The record is from RefSeq and is a predicted model, not a curated record. Lineage: Eukaryota; Viridiplantae; Streptophyta; Magnoliopsida; Malvales; Malvaceae.
AUUUGAAGGUUGUGGUAUUUCAUCGAUGAGCAGUGACCAAAGUCUCAAUGAACCUUAACCCAUCAAACCUCGGCGUAAAUUUCUCCGUUGAAGCUGAUUUCUUAUUUGCAGAAGAUUUUUCAUGUUCUUUCUUGUCCUGCAAAAUUAAAU